RNAcentral lists this ribosomal RNA (2900 nucleotides) under Streptococcus pneumoniae 459-5. RNAcentral describes it as "23S ribosomal RNA". The record is from RNAcentral. Lineage: Bacteria; Bacillati; Bacillota; Bacilli; Lactobacillales; Streptococcaceae.
UUGGAUAAGUCCUCGAGCUAUUAGUAUUAGUCCGCUACAUGUGUCGCCACACUUCCACUUCUAACCUAUCUACCUGAUCAUCUCUCAGGGCUCUUACUGAUAUAUAAUCAUGGGAAAUCUCAUCUUGAGGUGGGUUUCACACUUAGAUGCUUUCAGCGUUUAUCCCUUCCCUACAUAGCUACCCAGCGAUGCCUUUGGCAAGACAACUGGUACACCAGCGGUAAGUCCACUCUGGUCCUCUCGUACUAGGAGCAGAUCCUCUCAAAUUUCCUACGCCCGCGACGGAUAGGGACCGAACUGUCUCACGACGUUCUGAACCCAGCUCGCGUGCCGCUUUAAUGGGCGAACAGCCCAACCCUUGGGACCGACUACAGCCCCAGGAUGCGACGAGCCGACAUCGAGGUGCCAAACCUCCCCGUCGAUGUGAACUCUUGGGGGAGAUAAGCCUGUUAUCCCCAGGGUAGCUUUUAUCCGUUGAGCGAUGGCCCUUCCAUACGGAACCACCGGAUCACUAAGCCCGACUUUCGUCCCUGCUCGAGUUGUAGCUCUCGCAGUCAAGCUCCCUUAUACCUUUACACUCUGCGAAUGAUUUCCAACCAUUCUGAGGGAACCUUUGGGCGCCUCCGUUACCUUUUAGGAGGCGACCGCCCCAGUCAAACUGCCCGUCAGACACUGUCUCCGAUAGGGAUCACCUAUCUGGGUUAGAGUGGCCAUAACACAAGGGUAGUAUCCCAACAGCGUCUCCUUCGAAACUGGCGUCCCGAUCUCUUAGACUCCUACCUAUCCUGUACAUGUGGUACAGACACUCAAUAUCAAACUGCAGUAAAGCUCCAUGGGGUCUUUCCGUCCUGUCGCGGGUAACCUGCAUCUUCACAGGUACUAAAAUUUCACCGAGUCUCUCGUUGAGACAGUGCCCAAAUCAUUACGCCUUUCGUGCGGGUCGGAACUUACCCGACAAGGAAUUUCGCUACCUUAGGACCGUUAUAGUUACGGCCGCCGUUUACUGGGGCUUCAAUUCAUACCUUCGCUUACGCUAAGCACUCCUCUUAACCUUCCAGCACCGGGCAGGCGUCACCCCCUAUACAUCAUCUUACGAUUUAGCAGAGAGCUGUGUUUUUGAUAAACAGUUGCUUGGGCCUAUUCACUGCGGCUGACUUAAAGUCAGCACCCCUUCUCCCGAAGUUACGGGGUCAUUUUGCCGAGUUCCUUAACGAGAGUUCUCUCGCUCACCUGAGGCUACUCGCCUCGACUACCUGUGUCGGUUUGCGGUACGGGUAGAGUAUGUUUAAACGCUAGAAGCUUUUCUUGGCAGUGUGACGUCACUAACUUCGCUACUAAACUUCGCUCCCCAUCACAGCUCAAUGUUAUAGAAUUAAGCAUUUGACUCAAUUCACACCUCACUGCUUAGACAGACUCUUCCAAUCGUCUGCUUUAGUUAGCCUACUGCGUCCCUCCAUCACUACAUACUCUAGUACAGGAAUAUCAACCUGUUGUCCAUCGGAUACACCUUUCGGUCUCUCCUUAGGUCCCGACUAACCCAGGGCGGACGAGCCUUCCCCUGGAAACCUUAGUCUUACGGUGGACAGGAUUCUCACCUGUCUUUCGCUACUCAUACCGGCAUUCUCACUUCUAUGCGUUCCAGCACUCCUCACGGUAUACCUUCAUCACACAUAGAACGCUCUCCUACCAUACCUAUAAAGGUAUCCACAGCUUCGGUAAAUUGUUUUAGCCCCGGUACAUUUUCGGCGCAGGGUCACUCGACUAGUGAGCUAUUACGCACUCUUUGAAUGAAUAGCUGCUUCUAAGCUAACAUCCUAGUUGUCUGUGCAACCCCACAUCCUUUUCCACUUAACAAUUAUUUUGGGACCUUAGCUGGUGGUCUGGGCUGUUUCCCUUUCGACUACGGAUCUUAGCACUCGCAGUCUGACUGCCGACCAUAAUUCAUUGGCAUUCGGAGUUUAUCUGAGAUUGGUAAUCCGGGAUGGACCCCUCACCCAAACAGUGCUCUACCUCCAAGAAUCUCUAAUGUCGACGCUAGCCCUAAAGCUAUUUCGGAGAGAACCAGCUAUCUCCAAGUUCGUUUGGAAUUUCUCCGCUACCCACAAGUCAUCCAAGCACUUUUCAACGUGCCCUGGUUCGGUCCUCCAGUGCGUCUUACCGCACCUUCAACCUGCUCAUGGGUAGGUCACAUGGUUUCGGGUCUACGUCAUGAUACUAAGGCGCCCUAUUCAGACUCGGUUUCCCUACGGCUCCGUCUCUUCAACUUAACCUCGCAUCAUAACGUAACUCGCCGGUUCAUUCUACAAAAGGCACGCUCUCACCCAUUAACGGGCUCGAACUUGUUGUAGGCACACGGUUUCAGGUUCUAUUUCACUCCCCUCCCGGGGUGCUUUUCACCUUUCCCUCACGGUACUGGUUCACUAUCGGUCACUAGGGAGUAUUUAGGGUUGGGAGAUGGUCCUCCCAGAUUCCGACGGGAUUUCACGUGUCCCGCCGUACUCAGGAUACUGCUAAGUACAAAGACUAUUUUAAAUACGAGGCUAUUACUCUCUUUGGCUGAUCUUCCCAAAUCAUUCUUCUAUAAUCUUUGAGUCCACAUUGCAGUCCUACAACCCCGAAGAGUAAACUCUUCGGUUUGCCCUUCUGCCGUUUCGCUCGCCGCUACUAAGGCAAUCGCUUUUGCUUUCUCUUCCUGCAGCUACUUAGAUGUUUCAGUUCACUGCGUCUUCCUCCUCACAUCCUUAACAGAUGUAGGUAACAGGUAUUACCUGUUGGGUUCCCCCAUUCGGAAAUCCCUGGAUCAUCGCUUACUUACAGCUACCCAAGGCAUAUCGUCGUUUGUCACGUCCUUCGUCGGCUCCUAGUGCCAAGGCAUCCACCGUGCGCCCUUAUUAACUUAA